GGGCCCGCACAAGCGGCGGAGCAUGUUGCUUAAUUCGAGGCAACGCGAAGAACCUUACCUGGGUUUGACAUUUAGGGAAAAGCCAUAGAGAUAUGGUGUCCUUCGGGGCCCUAAACAGGUGGUGCAUGGCUGUCGUCAGCUCGUGUCGUGAGAUGUUGGGUUAAGUCCCGCAACGAGCGCAACCCUUAUCCUAUGUUGCCAGCGGUUCGGCCGGGGACUCGUAGGAGACUGCCGGGGUCAACUCGGAGGAAGGUGGGGACGACGUCAAGUCAUCAUGCCCCUUAUGUCCAGGGCUGCAAACAUGCUACAAUGGCUGGUACAACGGGCAGCGACACCGCGAGGUGAAGCGAA
Molecule: ribosomal RNA, 351 nt
Filed under: uncultured bacterium
Lineage: Bacteria
Description: bacterial SSU rRNA
Rfam family: Bacterial small subunit ribosomal RNA
Source: RNAcentral